CUCCACCAUGUGCUCCCCACCAUGAUGUUCUGCCUCACAAAAGGCCCAAAAAGAUGGGGUCAAGUGACCUUGUACUGAAAAUUCUGAAACCAUGAACCAAAUAAAUCUUUUCUUCUUUAAAUGAUUUUCUCAGGUAUUUUGUCACAGUGACAAAAAUAUGAUUAACAACUAAUUUUUUAGCAUCAACAAGGCCCCAGGUGCACAAGUAACUUUGAGUUGUUGAAUUUGUAUUCUUUGUCUAGAAUACCAGCAAGGUACCUUUUAUUAAAACAUCCUACAAAAAAAAAAAAAAAAUUAGGUACCAUUAUGACAAGGUUCAUCCAUAAAAAAAGAAGAUAUAUUUCUGUUUGAUUUACAAAAUAUACCUCACUCACAAUUGAAUAGUCAGUAUUCAAUUUUGAGGUAAAGUAAAAUUAGUUUAAUAGGUUUAAAAUUUUAAAAGUAUAUGAUUGAUAUUAAUGUUCUUGGAAAUUCUGAUGCUACAGGGCUUGGCACACAUAAUUGUGCUGAUGUUAAUUUGUAGAUGUAACUACACACUUUACAUUCAACUAGUUAUUCAGUGCCCUCAUGCUGGUUAAAUUAAUUACACCUUUACACCACAAUUAUAGGCAUAUUUUCUUAUUUUUGGCUCCCUGACAUCUGUUUGUAUCCCUCCCAGCUUAAUGAUUAUUCAUGCCAAGAUAUGAGUACUACACAGAGUCAGUCUUGGAGAAAGGAGGGAAUCUGCCCCUGAGGAAUGGAUUUAUGUCAUUAUUUCGUUUAAUAUGUGUACACCAUUUAGUGAGUUCGCAGAUGACUUAACCCUCUCUCAGCAGUGUGCCUGUUGAAGUGCAGAGUUGGAGACAUUGGUUUCCAUUGUUUUAUGCCCGUAGUUUUGAGUGCAGGAAUUGAACGGGAUACAUUUCUUUUUCUAGUUUGUCUUUUGGUGCUGUAGGGAUUGAACUCAGGUCCUUGUGCAUGCUAAGCACAUAUUCUAUCAGUGAACUACCCACCAUUCCAGGCCCAGUAGGCUGUUUGAAAGCUAUCCCCUACCAUGUCAAGCAUGGCUCAUAUAUUUUGUGUCUACUAUACAAACCCAACAAAACUUUAAAUCAUGUGCUGCAAAAGAUGCUAGACAAAAGAAUUGUUUUGGAAUAUUUAUUGACCCAUCACUUAUGUGCUGGCUAUCACUUCUGGUUGUAUUUGGGUAAAUGCUUCCGAUUUUCUUUUACAUGACUUAGUUCAGCCAAAUGAGAAGCUGAUCGAAGAAUUCUAUACAAAUAUUAGUUAUGUUAUUUUUGUCCUUGCCCCUAAUUGUUACUGCUGACAAAUAUGUCAUUAUAACAGGGUAUUAAUACUUUGGCAAAGAUGCCAACCCAUUAGUAGAAACCGCAGAGGAUUCUGUAGCAAAAGGAAAUUGAGGUGACUCUAAUAAAAUCCAAUAAAUUCUAGAGACAGAUAUUGAAAACAGUCUGGUGGUGGAGAACUAAGAACUGAGAAUUUGGUUGUUACUUGUAGAAAUAUUUGCUUUCAUUUUAGGAAAAGACCAAAAGAAGAGACAAUAAAAGGAAAAUACUUCCUCUACAGCAUCACUUGCUUAGAGGUUAAUAAAACAAUGCUAUCUCCCUUCAUCUGUACCUGUUAAGAACUGUGAGCUUUGGGCUGGGGAUGUGGCUCAAGCGGUAGCGUGCUCGCCUGGCAUGCGUGUGGCCCGGGUUCGAUCCUCAGUACCACAUACAAACAAAGAUGUUGUGUCCGCCGAAAAAAUAAAUAUUAAAAAAUUCUCUCUCUCUCUCUCUCUCUCUCUCUCUCUCUCUCUCUCUCUCUCUCUCCCCCUCCUUCCCUCCCUCCCUCUCUCUUAAAAAAAAAAAAAAAAGAACUGUGAGCUUUGGAUGACCCUAAUAAGCAAAACUUUGGGGGUUCUAGCUGAAGAAUUUUCCUAGCCUCUGAUAAAUGGAACAUCUUACUCUUGUAGAAACAAUUCUAUGGAUUCGUUUGAUCUACCCAGUGGGCUAGCUUUCAAUCCUUAAUGAACACACAGCCAUAAUGAAAUGUUCCACUUCUAGCAUUUUAAAAUACCCCAAUGAACAAUUCAAGAAACCUUUUCAGUGAUGUGUGU
RNAcentral lists this long non-coding RNA (2098 nucleotides) under Marmota monax (woodchuck). Lineage: Eukaryota; Metazoa; Chordata; Mammalia; Rodentia; Sciuridae. The record is from RNAcentral.